RNAcentral lists this ribosomal RNA (466 nucleotides) under uncultured bacterium. RNAcentral describes it as "bacterial SSU rRNA". It matches the Rfam family "Bacterial small subunit ribosomal RNA", at positions 329 to 792 of the family's 1533-position model. The record is from RNAcentral.
UCCCAGACUCCUACGGGAGGCAGCAGUGAGGAAUAUUGGUCAAUGGCCGGAAGGCUGAACCAGCCAAGUCGCGUGAGGGAAUAAGGCCCUAUGGGUCGUAAACCUCUUUUGUCAGGGAGCAAAGGCGUCCACGUGUGGACGAGAGGAGAGUACCUGAAGAAAAAGCAUCGGCUAACUCCGUGCCAGCAGCCGCGGUAAUACGGAGGAUGCGAGCGUUAUCCGGAUUUAUUGGGUUUAAAGGGUGCGUAGGCGGAGUGUCAAGUCAGCGGUAAAAUUUCGGGGCUCAACCCCGUCGUGCCGUUGAAACUGACACCCUUGAGUGAGUGAGAAGUAAGCGGAAUGCGUGGUGUAGCGGUGAAAUGCAUAGAUAUCACGCAGAACUCCGAUUGCGAAGGCAGCUUACUAAACUAUAACUGACACUGAAGCACGAAAGCGUGGGGAUCAAACAGGAUUAGAUACCCUAGUA